GCAUUAUCUUGUUGUUGCGGUCUGUUGGUGCAUUAUCUUGUUGUUGCGGUCUGUUGGUGCAUUAUCUUGUUGUUGCGGGCUGAUACAUUAUCUUGUGGCGGUCUGGUGAUGCAUUAUCUUGAUGUUACGGUCUGUUGAUGCACUAUCUUGUUGCGGUCUGUAGGUGUGAUGUUCGGAUGUACCGAUCCUGUGCAGGUGUUGGUACAUGUGGUUAACUGACCAUUACUUUCCCAGAAUCUAUGUUCAUUGAUUCUCUCGUUUUAGUAGUGUCAGCUUGGCGAUUUGAGGAGUUGAGACAAAUUAUCGGUAGAAAAGUUUACUUCUGUAAUAGAUCUCAGCACAUAUACUGGUGAAGAGGUAAGGCCAGAGUAAUGGAUCUCAGCACAGAUACUGGUGAAGAGGUAAGGCCAGAGUAAUAGAUGUAGAAACAUAUUGGUGAAGAGGUAAGGCCAGAGUAAUGGAUCUCAGCACAGAUCCUGGUGAAGAGGUAAGGCCAGAGUAAUAGAUGUAGAAACAUACUGGUGAAGAGGUAAGGGCAGAGUAAUGGAUCUCAGCACAGAUCCUGGUGAAGAGGUAAGGCCAGAGUAAUGGAUCUCAGCACAGAUCCUGGAGAAGAGGUAAGGCCAGAGUAAUGGAUGUUGAAGAGGUACAAUCUUAGAUAAAAAGGUGCUAUCAAAAAGCGUUCUUCAGCUGUCCCCAUAGAUCAGUGGUCACCAACCGAUCUUUUGACUGGCCCAUCUUCAAGGCAUUCCUAGUCGAUCUACAAACAUUUAUGUAGAAGAAAAAAAACCUUAAGGCGAUUCUUUAAAAUAAUAUAUAUUAUUAGUGUAAAAAUAAAUAAAUAUAUAUAUAUAUUAUUCGUGUAAAAAUACAAAUUUAAAUAUAUAUUAUUAGUGAAAAAAGUCAAAAUAAAUAUGAAUAUAUAUUAUUAGUGCUCCGCUGUUAUAUCGGUUGGUGCACUUGAUUCAGAAGCCCUGCACACCAUUUAUAACCAUUUAAUUUGUCUGAAAAGACCAACUCUACCUACCUGGCGAACUGGGAGAUAUGUAGCUAAAUCGAGUGCGUAUACUGUGCUGGCCAAUUCGAUAGCUCACCUACCUUCCACGACCCCAGCCACAGCAACGUGUGAGAGCAGAUAUUAAAAUCUUACCCUACGAGGUCCUGAGUACUAGCUGAUAGUUAACUUCACCCACCUGGUUAUAGUUCCGUUUCAGUCUCUGAUUAAAAAGGGAGGAAUACAAAUCAGUGGAACUGGCUUCAGGGUCCUAGAGUCACACCCCAUUUAUACCCAAGGAGAGUAUGGAGGAAAGGAUCUGCCACAGAACAGCGCCUUUGGAACAUCUGAGGGUUUAACGGUCUUGCUCCUAGGGCAGAACAGCAGGAAAUGAGGACUAGGACAACUGAUGACAGCAAGUAAUAGCAGCAGUAGCCCACUGGCCAGGGGAGGAGGGCAGCAGUAGCCCACUGGCCAGGGGAGGAGGG
Molecule: long non-coding RNA, 1482 nt
Organism: Oncorhynchus tshawytscha (Chinook salmon)
Lineage: Eukaryota; Metazoa; Chordata; Actinopteri; Salmoniformes; Salmonidae
Source: Ensembl